This 479-nucleotide ribosomal RNA is filed under the name uncultured bacterium. Its description in RNAcentral is "partial 16S ribosomal RNA". It matches the Rfam family "Bacterial small subunit ribosomal RNA", at positions 28 to 507 of the family's 1533-position model. The record is from RNAcentral.
GAUGAACGCUAGCGGGAGGCCUAACACAUGCAAGCCGAGCGGUAUUUGCUCUUCGGAACAGAGAGAGCGGCGCACGGGUUCGGAACACGUCUUCAACCUGCCUUUAUCUGGGGGAUAGCCUUUCGAAAGGCAGAUUAAUACCCCAUAAUAAAUUGUUUGGCCUCAUUUGUUAUUGAAAACUCCGGUGGCUAGAUAUGGGCACUCGCAAGAAUAGAUAGUUGGUGGGGUAACUGCUCACCAAGUAAAUGAUCCUUAGGGGGCCCGAAAGGGUGAUCCCCCACACGAGUACUGGGACACGCACCAGGCGCCUACGGGAGGCAGCAGUGAGGAAUGUUGGGCAGUGGGUUGGAGUCUGAUCCAGCCAGCGCGAGUGUAAGACGGCGACGCUAUGUGUUGUAAACUUCUUUUGGAUUGGGAUAAACCUACUCUCGUGGAUGUAGAUGAAAGUACUAUAAGAAUAAGCACCGGCUAACUCCGUG